GAAGGGAUGACUGGUGACAGAGUGAGGGAAUGACUGGUGACAGAGUGAGAGAGGGGGUGACUAGUGACCGAGUGAGGGAGGGAGUGGGUGACUAGUGACAGAGUGAGGAAGGGGGUGACACAGUGAUAGUCACCCCAUUCCUCCCUCUGUCACUAAUCACCACCUCCCUCACUCUCACUAGUCACCCCUUCCCUCCCUCACUCUGUCACUAGUCACACCCUCCCUCUCUCUGUCACUAGUCACACCCUUACUCACUGUCACUAGAGUGAG
Molecule: non-coding RNA, 270 nt
Organism: Pelobates cultripes (western spadefoot toad)
Lineage: Eukaryota; Metazoa; Chordata; Amphibia; Anura; Pelobatidae
Source: the annotation of a GenBank genome assembly